Molecule: ribosomal RNA, 252 nt
Filed under: uncultured bacterium
Lineage: Bacteria
Description: partial 16S ribosomal RNA
Rfam family: Bacterial small subunit ribosomal RNA
Source: RNAcentral
UACGUAGGGGGCAAGCGUUAUCCGGAAUUAUUGGGCGUAAAGAGUACGUAGGCGGUUCUUUAAGCGCAGGGUUUAAGGCGAUAGCUUAACUAUCGUUCGCCCUGUGAACUGGGGGACUUGAGUAUCGGAGAGGAAAGCGGAAUUCCUAGUGUAGCGGUGAAAUGCGUAGAUAUUAGGAGGAACACCAGUGGCGAAGGCGGCUUUCUGGACGAAAACUGACGCUGAGGUACGAAAGCGUGGGGAGCAAACAGG